CACAACAGUAGUUUGAGGUACUUCAUUAGGAUAUUGCUGGGUUGACUCAAAGGAUUGAGAUCUUAGAGAGAUUGCAGAAUUAGCAUACUAUCUUAUUUUCAAAUAUUCAUCAUUUGACUAUGUAGGCUGUCCGAGUUGCCAGAAAGGUUGAGGACGCCAUCAUUUCUGAGCAGGACAGUGUCAGAAUUCUUAUUGCUGCUAUGCAAAGGAUGGAGUCAUAGAUUAGUCUGCUUAUUGCUCGGAUAUCCCCAUCCCAAUCU
RNAcentral lists this long non-coding RNA (260 nucleotides) under Elaeis guineensis (African oil palm). RNAcentral describes it as "long non-coding RNA (EGUI_LNC047049)". Lineage: Eukaryota; Viridiplantae; Streptophyta; Magnoliopsida; Arecales; Arecaceae. The record is from RNAcentral.